UGUGGAUCGGACGGGUUUUGUUCACAGGAUUACCUGGUAGUCCAGGGGCCAAAGGUGGACCUGGAGUUAAAAAGGCGAGCCUGGUCCCAGAGGUCAUGCCGGCAUGUCCGGAGGGAGACCGAGGUCAGCGCGGUCCAGUGGGUCCACAAGGAUUAGUCGGAAAGGCUGGAAGCAAAGAAGAGAGGACCGAUGGGUGUUCCUGGUGCUCAAGGUCUGAGUGGAACCAAAAGAGACAAGGUCUUGGGAGAUGUCGUCCACCAGCUCGCUCUCGGAGCACUCGUGGGCCAUGGCUUUGAACAACUUGCAGGCCACCAGGGCCUUGGCCAUGGCCUCCUCGCCACGCUGCCAGAGGAAGAGCGACAUCUUCUGGCGCUUCAUCAGCACGGCCCACAGCAUCAGCUCGUGGAAGGGGUACUUGAAGCGACACACCUCCGGGUCGUCCACGUCGAUCUCCACCUCUUCCUCCUUCUUCUUCUUGGCCUUCUUCUUGCCUUUGGUCCGAGGUUCGUCGUCCUGACAAAACACCAAUGAUACUCUCACGGCUCUUUAUUUUGGAUUCCAUGACGAGUGUUUCACCGCCAGGUUG
Long non-coding RNA from Entelurus aequoreus (snake pipefish), 586 nucleotides. RefSeq lists it as uncharacterized. NCBI's taxonomy places the organism in Eukaryota, Metazoa, Chordata, Actinopteri, Syngnathiformes, Syngnathidae. The record is from RefSeq and is a predicted model, not a curated record. The transcript has 6 exons.